Molecule: non-coding RNA, 617 nt
Organism: Erythranthe guttata (spotted monkey flower)
Lineage: Eukaryota; Viridiplantae; Streptophyta; Magnoliopsida; Lamiales; Phrymaceae
Source: RefSeq, a predicted model, not a curated record
CAGUUUGGAUAUAUUGCUGUGACAACAUCUGCUGGAAUCAUGGCCCACGAAGAAGAAGCUCGUAGAAGAAGUGUGAGCAUCUUGCUUUUCUCGUCUUCUUCAUCCAUGGACCACAAGAAGGAGUCAUCAUUCGAUGGGCAGUAAUCCCAUAUGGGGGAGACCACCGUUUGCCAUGCUCGACAGCAGCAGCAGCAGCAGGGAUCAUCAAAUCCUUUAUUUCCACACCGCCCGUGUCGUAAAAACUCGUCUCCUUUGCCGGAGUAAAAUCCUCCGUAGUAGGGCUAUUGGAUAUCGAUGAGGAUGAUGAAGAGUUAUCCGAAGAUGAUAUCGGAGAAAUGGAUUUCUUCUGCUUCUUGCUCUGUUGAGCCUUCUUCCUCAUGUGGGUCCGCCAGUAGUUCUUGAUCUCGUUAUCGGUCCGACCAGGACAAUAUGCCUAUACAACAUAUGUGCCCCCAAAAGCCGCCCCACUAUAAAGUAAGUGCUGCUUUUUUUUUCCCUUUCCUUCUUUUGGCUUUAAUUAUUUGAAUAUAAGGCCAUCUCCAACAGUUGUUUAAAAACUGAUUGUUUAUAUCUAUAAUUUAAGAGACGAACAGUGUUAUACACUAUCACUUUUAACC